Molecule: ribosomal RNA, 301 nt
Filed under: uncultured Bacillus sp.
Lineage: Bacteria; Bacillati; Bacillota; Bacilli; Caryophanales; Bacillaceae
Description: bacterial SSU rRNA
Rfam family: Bacterial small subunit ribosomal RNA
Source: RNAcentral
CGGGCAACUACCGGCGAGCAGGCGAGGUAAGACGUAGGGGACGGGCGUGGGCCGGAGUAGUUGGGCGGCACGCGCGCGUAUGCGUGUCUGAAAGUCGGUCGUGAAAUGCCGGGGCGCAACCCCGGGACUGCGUCCCAUACUCCAGAGCUGGAGGCAGGUAGGGGAGAUCGGAAUUCCUGGUGUAGCGGUGAAAUGCGCAGAUAUCAGGAGGAACACCGGUGGCGAAGGCGGAUCUCUGGGCCUUGCCUGACGCUGAGGCGCGAAAGCUAGGGGAGCGAACAGGAUUAGAACCCUUGUAGUC